AUUGAACGCUGGCGGCAGGCUUAACACAUGCAAGUCGAGCGGGGGAAGGUAGCUUGCUACCGGACCUAGCGGCGGACGGGUGAGUAAUGCUUAGGAAUCUGCCUAUUAGUGGGGGACAACAUCUCGAAAGGGAUGCUAAUACCGCAUACGUCCUACGGGAGAAAGCAGGGGAUCUUCGGACCUUGCGCUAAUAGAUGAGCCUAAGUCGGAUUAGCUAGUUGGUGGGGUAAAGGCCUACCAAGGCGACGAUCUGUAGCGGGUCUGAGAGGAUGAUCCGCCAAACGUGGACUGAGACACGGCCCAGACUCCUACGGGAGGCAGCAGUGGGGAAUAUUGGACAAUGGGGGAAACCCUGAUCCAGCCAUGCCGCGUGUGUGAAGAAGGCCUUAUGGUUGUAAAGCACUUUAAGCGAGGAGGAGGCUACUGAGACUAAUACUCUUGGAUAGUGGACGUUACUCGCAGAAUAAGCACCGGCUAACUCUGUGCCAGCCGCCGCCGUAA
This 501-nucleotide ribosomal RNA is filed under the name uncultured bacterium. Its description in RNAcentral is "partial 16S ribosomal RNA". It matches the Rfam family "Bacterial small subunit ribosomal RNA", at positions 30 to 523 of the family's 1533-position model. The record is from RNAcentral.